GAAGGUUAUUGACCUGGCCUGGUUCACAUCUGACGGUGCUGAUCUUGAGAGCAAAUGAAUUCUGGUGCCUGUGGGCUUGUAGGGCUUCCAGUUUCUCAGCAGAUAAGCAUUGGCUGGCCUUCUCUUUCAGACUGGAUUGUGCAAACACACCCCUAAUGAUUCCCACGGAUCACGCAACUGGAAUGAGAUGGGCUGCUGGAAGCAGCAGUUACUGAGAUCUGGCACUGGUCCUCUCUGAUUGUGUGGGACACGGAGUUCAGCAAGGGGCUGGAGGCCAAAGUCCUGGCACCUGCAGCCUGUCACCACACUCUUAAGCAGGUACUGAGAGGCGGUGGCAUGUGAAGCAUGCAAUACAAAGUGAUGCAGAGGAAUGUAAUGAAAGAUGCAGGAAGCUUAUGACACUUUUGCCUGGUUGGGACCCAUACAUGGAACACAGUCCAGAUCUGGCUCCAAAGAGCUUUCAGCAUCAAUCAACAAGACAAUGUGAAGAAGAGGAGGAGGAGAGAGGCAGUGUUACUUGCCCAAAUAUUAACUCAACAGCUCUUCAAAAAGGAGGUUGCCGUUUUGCUUUGUAGGCUUCACCCCUGGUUUCCCUCAAGACUAGGUGUGAAGGAAAAGUACAAGUGCUGCGCUCCUAUUCCUAUGGAUUUCAUAACGUGCAAAGCUUCAAUGGGCACCAGAGGUCCUGGAUUUAGCCAUCUUCACCUGCCUGGCUUGGAGGGGAAGAAUUCUUUCCCCGUGCUGUGGGGAUUUAGACACAUUGCUUUUCUGGCUCCACUUCAGCAACAAGCUCAGUGCUCAACAGCUGAUUUCCCUCUUCCUCCCGGGCCGCGUCUUGUGCGCGUUCACAUCACAUGGUGCUGCUGAUCUGUUUUCCUUUCUGCGUCCUGCUGAAGGUUUGGGCAUAUUAAUCAGAAGUGAGAGUGUCAUUCCCCAACAUUAUUCUACCAGAGGAAACAUGGAUGAGAAACAGUCUGUGUGCAACUCCCAGGUGCAGGUAGGGACCUUCUUUCUACCUUUACACAUAGAUAGAUAGGGACCUUGACCUCCAGCAACUACUAGAUAGAUCUCAGUACAUUUUUUGGAUUUGGUUCAGUGGG
Molecule: long non-coding RNA, 1100 nt
Filed under: Calidris pugnax (ruff)
Lineage: Eukaryota; Metazoa; Chordata; Aves; Charadriiformes; Scolopacidae
Description: lncRNA (ENSCPUG00000011301.1)
Source: RNAcentral